Molecule: ribosomal RNA, 518 nt
Filed under: uncultured Actinomycetes bacterium
Lineage: Bacteria; Bacillati; Actinomycetota; Actinomycetes
Description: bacterial SSU rRNA
Rfam family: Bacterial small subunit ribosomal RNA
Source: RNAcentral
ACAAUGGGCGGAAGCCUGAUCCAGCAACGCCGCGUGAGGGAUGACGGCCUUCGGGUUGUAAACCUCUUUCAGUACCGACGAAGCGAAAGUGACGGUAGGUACAGAAGAAGCACCAGCCAACUACGUGCCAGCAGCCGCGGUAAUACGUAGGGUGCGAGCGUUGUCCGGAAUUAUUGGGCGUAAAGGGCUCGUAGGCGGUUUGUCGCGUCGGGAGUGAAAACACUGGGCUUAACUCAGUGCUUGCUUCCGAUACGGGCAGACUAGAGGUAUGCAGGGGAGAACGGAAUUCCUGGUGUAGCGGUGAAAUGCGCAGAUAUCAGGAGGAACACCGGUGGCGAAGGCGGUUCUCUGGGCAUUACCUGACGCUGAGGAGCGAAAGUGUGGGGAGCGAACAGGAUUAGAUACCCUGGUAGUCCACACCGUAAACGUUGGGCGCUAGGUGUGGGGUCCAUUCCACGGAUUCCGUGCCGCAGCUAACGCAUUAAGCGCCCCGCCUGGGGAGUACGGCCGCAAGGCUA